This is a long non-coding RNA of Actinia tenebrosa (Australian red waratah sea anemone), 374 nucleotides long. Lineage: Eukaryota; Metazoa; Cnidaria; Anthozoa; Actiniaria; Actiniidae. The record is from RefSeq and is a predicted model, not a curated record.
UCAAGCGGUGGUAACCCUAUCCGCCUUCAAAUCAACUUGAAACAGGACCCAAUUUCUCAAGCUCCACAUAUUCGGCUACUGGACCUCUGUGCGAGCCGAGCGUUCGUCAAUUCUCUUCUUUAUAUUAAAAUAAUGCUCGUAUAGAGGACUGUGGAAACUUGUUGUAAAAUCAUAUAAAGAAUAUUUAUAAUGUGGUUACCUACAAGUUUAUUAGGGAUUAUACUAGCGCUCAGCUACGCGCUCUUCUUCAAUGCAAGUCCAGUAUCUUCACAAACGUGUGCAGGUUGUCAAGCAUGUGUCCCGAAAUGUAUCGGAGAAAAAGGAUCUAGGGGUGAAAGAGGAUUCCAAGGAAUUCAAGGAGUUCAAGGAUUGCC